CCCCCCCAGUUUCUCUUCAGAUCGUAUAAAACUUUUGCCUUUUAGUAAAGAUUUCCGUAGAGAGGAACAUUUAUGAGUUUUUAACUAAUUUUUUGAGGCUCUGUCUUGGUU
RNAcentral lists this small nuclear RNA (111 nucleotides) under Salvator merianae (Argentine black and white tegu). RNAcentral describes it as "U5 spliceosomal RNA (ENSSMRG00000022607.1)". It matches the Rfam family "U5 spliceosomal RNA". From Rfam's summary of the family: U5 RNA is a component of both types of known spliceosome. The precise function of this molecule is unknown, though it is known that the 5' loop is required for splice site selection and p220 binding, and that both the 3' stem-loop and the Sm site are important for Sm protein binding and cap methylation. Lineage: Eukaryota; Metazoa; Chordata; Lepidosauria; Squamata; Teiidae. The record is from RNAcentral.